RNAcentral lists this transfer RNA (74 nucleotides) under Achromobacter denitrificans. Its description in RNAcentral is "tRNA-Val(gac)". Lineage: Bacteria; Pseudomonadati; Pseudomonadota; Betaproteobacteria; Burkholderiales; Alcaligenaceae. The record is from RNAcentral.
AUCUCACGUGGCCCGCGGUGCCGGAGGCCAGCGCGGUGACAUCGCGCCGCGCCAGUUCGAUCUGCCGCAGGAUC